Molecule: non-coding RNA, 692 nt
Organism: Cinara cedri
Lineage: Eukaryota; Metazoa; Arthropoda; Insecta; Hemiptera; Aphididae
Source: the annotation of a GenBank genome assembly
CAAAUAUGAAAAAUCAAAACGGAAUGCUUAUGGCUGUUCGUGUAUAGGCAUAUUUUCAUAAUAGUGUAAGGUCUAUGGUCUAUGCUUAUUUUAUUUAAUAUGAAAAUCAUACAUAACACGCAGUCCAUAUUUUAAGUUCAAUGAAUGCAAUAAGAAACGAAAAUGUGAUACACCAAUGAAAAUAAUAUUUGUUUGUGGAAAUUUAAAUAAAAUGAUCAAACAAUAAUAACACAUCGCAAUACUGCCCUCAACAUUUAACUCAGCCAUAUUGUUGCAGUUGAUCUACAGUAAAAAUAAAAGAUUUUUAACACGGUCUAAGAAGAUCUUCUAUAAUAGAGGUUUAUAGUUUAGUUAAAUCACUAAUAAAACGGUUUUUAUCAAUACCUGCCUACUAAUUUUGUUUAUAGAAUAAACGACACAGUUACCAACAGAUUUAUAAUACAUUUAUUAUAAGUUUAUUAUAUAUAAAUCUGUGUAGUUACUAGCAGAAAAUAUAGAUGGCCAAUGGAGAUUUUUAGCAGUAAACCACUAACCAGGUACUUUAAAGAGAUGAUUUUUCGAUUUUCUCAUCAAAUUUGAAAAACCGAAAAAAAAAACAGGAAAUUAUAAAAAAUGUAAGUAGGUAUUAGUUAAAAUAUAUUAUGGUCUUUUUUUUCUGUGCGCAACUUUUCAACCAGCAAUUUAGCUCCAAC